This 467-nucleotide ribosomal RNA is filed under the name uncultured bacterium. RNAcentral describes it as "partial 16S ribosomal RNA". It matches the Rfam family "Bacterial small subunit ribosomal RNA", at positions 28 to 507 of the family's 1533-position model. The record is from RNAcentral.
GACGAACGCUGGCGGCGUGCUUAACACAUGCAAGUCGAACGAUGACGACCGAGCUUGCUCGGUCUGAUUAGUGGCGAACGGGUGAGUAACACGUGAGCAACCUGCCCUUCACUCUGGGAUAACCUCGGGAAAUCGGGGCUAAUACCGGAUAUGAGCUCCUGUCGCAUGGCGGGUGUUGGAAAGUUUUUCGGUGAAGGAUGGGCUCGCGGCCUAUCAGUUUGUUGGUGAGGUAGUGGCUCACCGAGGCGAUGACGGGUAGCCGGCCUGAGAGGGCGACCGGCCACACUGGGACUGAGACACGGCCCAGACUCCUACGGGAGGCAGCAGUGGGGAAUAUUGCACAAUGGGCGAAAGCCUGAUGCAGCGACGCCGCGUGAGGGAUGACGGCCUUCGGGUUGUAAACCUCUUUCAGCAGGGAAGAAGCGAAAGUGACGGUACCUGCAGAAGAAGCGCCGGCUAACUACGUG